UCUCGUUUCCCGAACAGGAUUAGAUACCCUGGUAGUCCAUGCUGUAAAUGAUGAGUGUUCGCCCUUGGUCUACGCGGAUCAGGGCCCAGCUAACGCGUGAAACACUC
RNAcentral lists this ribosomal RNA (107 nucleotides) under Olea europaea subsp. europaea. RNAcentral describes it as "SSU_rRNA_archaea". The record is from RNAcentral. Lineage: Eukaryota; Viridiplantae; Streptophyta; Magnoliopsida; Lamiales; Oleaceae.